RNAcentral lists this transfer RNA (76 nucleotides) under Bacilli bacterium. RNAcentral describes it as "tRNA-His". It matches the Rfam family "tRNA". Rfam says of the family: Transfer RNA (tRNA) molecules are approximately 80 nucleotides in length. Lineage: Bacteria; Bacillati; Bacillota; Bacilli. The record is from RNAcentral.
GCGGCAUUGGUGAAGUGGUUAACACGCUAGUUUGUGGCACUAGUAUGCAAGGGUUCGAUUCCCUUAUGCCGCCCCA